Marchantia polymorpha subsp. polymorpha is the source of this 81-nucleotide small nuclear RNA. It matches the Rfam family "U4 spliceosomal RNA". Rfam says of the family: U4 small nuclear RNA (U4 snRNA) is a component of the major U2-dependent spliceosome. The structure of U4 snRNA from yeast and human has been reported. U4 snRNA presents a k-turn RNA motif in the 5p-SL related to recognition of Snu13 protein. Lineage: Eukaryota; Viridiplantae; Streptophyta; Marchantiopsida; Marchantiales; Marchantiaceae. The record is from Rfam.
AUCUUUGCGCUUGGGGCAAUGACGCAGUUACUGAGAUGAAACCGAGACGCGUCAAUUGCUGGUUGAGAACUAUUUCUAGAG